CACACUCUUUGGUUAAGAGGACAACCAACCCAUAUGGCCUACAGCGACCUAUGCUCGAUAGAAGCUGUUGUCCUUAUUAAUAGCCUAUCAUUUGGUCGUGAACUGUUUUAAGGACUAAUCGAUAAAUUCUCUCUUUAUCGAAUCUAAAUAGUCCUAAGGACUUCAUCAUAACAACAGAGUUCAUUAGAAGAUGAAAGCUUAUGAUGAAAAUGCCAAAUAUAUUUUAUUUAUUAACAAAUCAAUUACAAUACUUGGUUGCUCA
This 262-nucleotide long non-coding RNA is filed under the name Elaeis guineensis (African oil palm). RNAcentral describes it as "long non-coding RNA (EGUI_LNC080785)". Lineage: Eukaryota; Viridiplantae; Streptophyta; Magnoliopsida; Arecales; Arecaceae. The record is from RNAcentral.